This 495-nucleotide ribosomal RNA is filed under the name uncultured bacterium. Its description in RNAcentral is "partial 16S ribosomal RNA". It matches the Rfam family "Bacterial small subunit ribosomal RNA", at positions 28 to 523 of the family's 1533-position model. The record is from RNAcentral.
GAUGAACGCUGGCGGCGUGCUUAACACAUGCAAGUCGAACGAAGCACUUUGGACAGAUUCUUCGGAUGAAGUCCUUAGUGACUGAGUGGCGGACGGGUGAGUAACGCGUGGGUAACCUGCCUCAUACAGGGGGAUAACAGUUAGAAAUGGCUGCUAAUACCGCAUAAACGCACGGUGCUGCAUGGUACAGUGUGAAAAACUCCGGUGGUAUGAGAUGGACCCGCGUUGGAUUAGCUAGUUGGCAGGGUAACGGCCUACCAAGGCGACGAUCCAGAGCCGGCCUGGGAGGGUGGACGGCCACAUUGGGACUGAGACACGGCCCAGACUCCUACGGGAGGCAGCAGUGGGGAAUAUUGCACAAUGGGGGAAACCCUGAUGCAGCGACGCCGCGUGAGCGAAGAAGUAUUUCGGUAUGUAAAGCUCUAUCAGCAGGGAAGAAAAUGACGGUACCUGACUAAGAAGCCCCGGCUAACUACGUGCCAGCCGCCGCUGUAA